This 781-nucleotide ribosomal RNA is filed under the name uncultured bacterium. RNAcentral describes it as "bacterial SSU rRNA". It matches the Rfam family "Bacterial small subunit ribosomal RNA", at positions 28 to 808 of the family's 1533-position model. The record is from RNAcentral.
GAUGACCUUUGGCGGCGUGCUUAACACAUGCAAGUCGAACGAAGCACUUAUCUUUGAUUCUUCGGAUGAAGAGGUUUGUGACUGAGUGGCGGACGGGUGAGUAACGCGUGGGUAACCUGCCUCAUACAGGGGGAUAACAGUUAGAAAUGACUGCUAAUACCGCAUAAGACCACAGAGCCGCGUGGCUCGGUGGGAAAAACUCCGGUGGUAUGAGAUGGACCCGCGUCUGAUUAGGUAGUUGGUGGGGUAACGGCCUACCAAACCAACGAUCAGUAGCCGACCUGAGAGGGUGACCGGCCACAUUGGGACUGAGACACGGCCCAAACUCCUACGGGAGGCAGCAGUGGGGAAUAUUGCACAAUGGGGGAAACCCUGAUGCAGCGACGCCGCGUGAGCGAAGAAGUAUUUCGGUAUGUAAAGCUCUAUCAGCAGGGAAGAAGAAUGACGGUACCUGACUAAGAAGCACCGGCUAAAUACGUGCCAGCAGCCGCGGUAAUACGUAUGGUGCAAGCGUUAUCCGGAUUUACUGGGUGUAAAGGGAGCGCAGGCGGUACGGCAAGUCUGAUGUGAAAUCCCGGGGCUCAACCCCGGUACUGCAUUGGAAACUGUCGGACUAGAGUGUCGGAGGGGUAAGUGGAAUUCCUAGUGUAGCGGUGAAAUGCGUAGAUAUUAGGAGGAACACCAGUGGCGAAGGCGGCUUACUGGACGAUUACUGACGCUGAGGCUCGAAAGCGUGGGGAGCAAACAGGAUUAGAUACCCUGGUAGUCCACGCCGUAAACG